This 460-nucleotide ribosomal RNA is filed under the name uncultured bacterium. Its description in RNAcentral is "partial 16S ribosomal RNA". It matches the Rfam family "Bacterial small subunit ribosomal RNA", at positions 338 to 795 of the family's 1533-position model. The record is from RNAcentral.
CCUACGGGUGGCAGCAGUGAGGAAUAUUGGUCAAUGGGCGCGAGCCUGAACCAGCCAAGUCGCGUGAAGGAUGACUGCUCUACGGGUUGUACACUUCUUUUAUAAAGGAAUAAAGUGAGGCACGUGUGCCUUUUUGUAUGUACUUUAUGAAUACGGAUCGUCUAACUCCGUGCCAGCAGCCGCGGUACUACGGAGGAUCCGCGCGUUCUCCGGAUUUAUUGGGUUUAAAGGGAGCGUAGAUGGGUUGUUAAGUCAGUUGUGAAAGUUUGCGGCUCAACCGUAAAAUUGCACUUGAUACUGGCAGUCUUGAGUACAGUUGAGGUAGGCGGAAUUCGGGGUGUAGCGGUGAAAUGCUUAGAUAUCACGAAGAACUCCGAUGGCGAAGGCAGCUUACUAAACUGCCACUGACAUUGAUGCUCGAAAGUGUGGGUAUCAAACAGGAUUAGAUACCCUUGUAGUC